AAGCAGGGGAUCGCAAGACCUUGCGCUUUUGGAGCGGCCGAUGUCUGAUUAGCUAGUUGGUGAGGUAAAGGCUUACCAAGGCUUCGAUCAGUAGCUGGUCUGAGAGGACGACCAGCCACACUGGGACUGAGACACGGCCCAGACUCCUACGGGAGGCAGCAGUGGGGAAUUUUGGACAAUGGGGGCAACCCUGAUCCAGCCAUGCCGCGUGAGUGAAGAAGGCCUUCGGUUGUAAAGCUCUUUCAGCCGGAACGAAACGGUCACGGUUAAUAACUGUGAUCACU
This 284-nucleotide ribosomal RNA is filed under the name uncultured beta proteobacterium. RNAcentral describes it as "16S ribosomal RNA". It matches the Rfam family "Bacterial small subunit ribosomal RNA", at positions 202 to 477 of the family's 1533-position model. The record is from RNAcentral. Lineage: Bacteria; Pseudomonadati; Pseudomonadota; Betaproteobacteria.